AGCUACUAAGGGCAUACGGUGGAUGCCUAGGCGCCAAGAGCCGAAGAAGGACGCGGUAAGCUGCGAAAAGCCACGGGGAACUGCAAGCAAGUAUUGAUCCGUGGAUAUCCGAAUGGGGAAACCCGGCCAUCGUCAUGGAUGGUCACCCGCAAGGGAGGGAACCUGGGGAACUGAAACAUCUAAGUACCCGGAGGAAGAGAAAUCAAACGAGAUGCCCACAGUAGCGGCGAGCGAAGAGGGCAGAGCCCAAACCGAGAAGCUCCGGCUUUUCGGGGUUGAGGACCGGCAGAAUCGAAGUCAGGCCUAGUCGAAUUACCUGGAAAGGUAAGCGAGAGAGGGUAAAAGCCCCGUAGACGAAAGGCAGAGCAGAGAGGCCGAGAUCCAGAGUACCACGAAGCACGAGGAAUUUUGUGGGAAGCAGGGGGGACCACCCUCCAAGGCUAAAAACUACUUGGCGACCGAUAGCGCAUAGUACCGUGAGGGAAAGGUGAAAAGAACCCCGGGAGGGGAGUGAAAUAGUACCUGAAACCGUAUGUCUACAAGCAGUCGAAGCGAAAGCGACGGCGUGCCUAUUGAAGAAUGAACCAACGAGUUAUCUGCACUAGCGAGGUUAAGUGGAAGACACGGAGCCGCAGCGAAAGCGAGUCUUAAGAGGGCGCUAGUUAGUGUAGGUAGACCCGAAACCGCAGUGAUCUACCCAUGUCCAGGUUGAAGCGCAGGUAAAAUUGCGUGGAGGACCGAACCGGUGAGCGUUGAAAAGCUUUCGGAUGAGAUGUGGGUAGGGGUGAAAUUCCAAUCGAACGCGGAGAUAGCUGGUUCUCCCCGAAAUAGCUUUAGGGCUAGCCUGAGGUAGUAAGUAUAGGCGGUAGAGCACUGAUCGGGCUAGGGGCCGUAAAGGUUACCGAACCCUGUCAAACUCCGAAUGGAUAUACUGUAGAGCCUUGGAGUCAGACUACGAGUGAUAAGAUCCGUGGUCAAAAGGGAAACAGCCCAGACCACCAGCUAAGGUCCCCAAUGUCGUACUAAGUGGAAAAGGAUGUGGGGUUUCAUAAACAACCAGGAUGUUGGCUCAGAAGCAGCCACCAUUUAAAGAGUGCGUAAUAGCUCACUGGUCGAGAGACCCUGCGCCGAAGAUUCCCGGGGCUAAAGUACGAAACCGAAGCUGUGGCUGUAUACGUAAAGUAUACGGGGUAGGGGAGCGUUCCCAUAGGGUAGAAGUCGAACUGGAAGGUUCGGUGGACUUGUGGGAAGUGAGAAUGUUGGUAUGAGUAGCGAAAAGAAAGGUGAGAAUCCUUUCCACCGAAAGCAUAAGGAUUCCUGAGCAACGAUCGUCGUCUCAGGGUAAGUCGGGACCUAAUCCGAGGCAGAGAGCGUAGGAGAUGGACAACUGGUUGAUAUUCCAGUACCGGUAGUAAUUGUUUGAGCAAUGGAGUGACACAGAAGGGCAGGCAAGCAUGCGAAUGGAAGAGCAUGUGUAAGCGUGUAGGGUGGUGCAUAGGCAAAUCCGUGCACUGAAAGCCUGAGGCGUGAUGCGGAGUGAGCAGAGAUGCGAGCGAAGUUGUUGACCCCACACUGUCGAGAAAAGCUUCUAGUGAGAGAGCUACCGCCCGUACCGUAAACCGACACAGGUAUGCGGGGAGAGAAUCCUAAGGUGCGCGGGAGAACCCUCGUUAAGGAACUCGGCAAAAUGUACCCGUAACUUCGGGAUAAGGGUAGCCACUGUUGUGAAGUCCCAUGCGGAUGGAGCAUAGAGUGGUCGCAGAGAAGAGGCCCAAGCGACUGUUUACCAUAAACACAGGUGCCUGCUAAAGCGAAAGCUGACGUAUAGGUGCUGACACCUGCCCAGUGCCGGAAGGUUAAGGAAGGAUGUUCGGAUUAGUCCAAAGCAUUCGACUGAAGCCCCGGUGAACGGCGGCCGUAACUAUAACGGUCCUAAGGUAGCGAAAUUCCUUGUCGGGUAAGUUCCGACCCGCACGAAAGGUGUAACGAUUUGGGCACUGUCUCAACGAGGGACCCGGUGAAAUUGAAAUACCUGUGAAGAUGCAGGUUACCCGCGACUGGACAGAAAGACCCCAUGGAGCUUUACUGUAACCUGACAUUGGGUUUUGAUACAUUACGUACAGGAUAGGUGGGAGGCUUGGAAAGCUGGACGCUAGUCUGGCUGGAGCCGACGUUGGGAUACCACCCUUGAUGUAUUGAAAUUCUAACCGCGAGAGUAACGAAAUCCGGGACAGUGUCAGGCGGGCAGUUUGACUGGGGCGGUCGCCUCCGAAAGAGUAACGG
This 2283-nucleotide ribosomal RNA is filed under the name human gut metagenome. RNAcentral describes it as "bacterial LSU rRNA". It matches the Rfam family "Bacterial large subunit ribosomal RNA", at positions 1 to 2303 of the family's 2925-position model. The record is from RNAcentral.